This 194-nucleotide ribosomal RNA is filed under the name uncultured bacterium. Its description in RNAcentral is "partial 16S ribosomal RNA". The record is from RNAcentral.
AUUACCGCGGCUGCUGGCACGUAGUUAGCCGGUGCUUCUUCUUCAGGUACCGUCAUUAGCAAGCUAUGUUAGAGCCCGCCGUUUCGUUCCUGCCAAAAGCGGUUUACAACCCGAAGGCCUUCUUCACUCACGCGGCAUGGCUGGAUCAGGCUUUCGCCCAUUGUCCAAAAUUCCCCACUGCUGCCUCCCGUAGG